Molecule: long non-coding RNA, 8085 nt
Filed under: Sus scrofa (pig)
Lineage: Eukaryota; Metazoa; Chordata; Mammalia; Artiodactyla; Suidae
Description: lncRNA (ENSSSCG00045009390.1)
Source: RNAcentral
GCUAUUUCUUUGGGCCGCUCCCGCAGCAUAUGGAGGUUCCCAGGCUAGGGGUCGAAUUGGAGCUGUAGCCACCGGCCUACGCCAGAGCCACAGCAACGCGGGAUCCGAGCCGCGUCUGCAACCUACACCACAGCUCACGGCAACGCCGGAUCAUUAACCCACUGAGCAAGGGCAGGGACUGAACCCGCAACCUCAUGGUUCCUAGUCGGAUUUGUUAACCACUGCGCCACGACGGGAACUCCUAAUAAUUAUUUAUGUUUACAUUUGAUAGAUGGUGUUUAAAUAUAUUUCUCUGUGUCUUAUGAUCUCUUGCAUUGGAAUACAGUGCCUCAAGAGAAAGGGUGCCAUCUUUUUCUUUUUUUAUGAUGCCUCACAGCUAGCAGUUCAAUGGGUGACAGAUAACUGGAAAAAUAGCCUGAUAUUUAUGAAUUAUUGUGAUUAUGAAUACAGCCUGAUAAGUGUAGAACUAUAUGUGACCAGAAACAUUUUGCACACUCUUAGGCUACUUUGAUUGGUUUUUGGUUGUUGUUUGUUUUGUUUUGAUUGGAUUUGUUACAUUGCUUUCCAGAGCCAAUAUUUCUUAAGAAAGUAUAUAUACAAUUAGUAUAUUCAUGGCAAAAUAAUUUGUAUAUAUACAAUUAUAUACAAAAUAAUUAGUAUAUAUACAAUUAGUAUAUUCAUGGCAAAAUAAUUUGAAGAAUCAUUAAAAUGCCCAUCCUUUAAAGUGUGUUAAACACAUCAGUUCAGGCAACAAUCCAGAUAUGCCAAACCCUUAUCCCUGAUGCGUAAGUACCACUAAGUCAGAGAUAUUUUCUAUCUUGUAUACCACUGAAUCCCAGGGCCUGAAACAGAGACUGGCAUUUAGUAAGUGUUCCUUAUAUUUGUCGAUUAAAUGAAAAUGUUGGAAUUUGGUUAUAUUAUUGUUGUCUUUCAUGUUAUUGUGUUAUAUUGUUGUCUUUUGUGUUAUUGCAGUUCCCAUACUGUUAUUCAUAAAUGAUCAAAAAAGCAAUUUAGGUUCAUCUUCUCAACAGAUAUUUAUUGCAUUUUUACCUGUUCCUUUGAACAGAGUGUUUCCUUUAGGAGCUCACAUUCUACAGCUGAAAAAUACCCUUUUGAACACAACAGAGUCAUUGGUAAAUCCCACAUAGUGGCCUGUCUUUUAAUCAAAACACCUUUGCUCAGAGCAAGGCUGUACCUCCAUUCUCUCAACCUCUGAUUUUUGCCAGCUUUGCAGAAAUAUAUUGAAGCAAUUAGCACUUUCCUAAAGAGCCCCUGAUUCUAUUCUGGGAUUCUAUGGCUGAUGACCAUGUUGUGCCUUUUCAAGUGGACUUGAUUACUCCAAUAAAACUGUUGGAAGGCUAUUUUUAUUUUUCUUGCAUGAUUUUUUUUUCUACCUCAUCCACAAUGGAUGAAAACAGAAUCUUCCUUUUGUCUGUGGGUUCACAUGAGGUUUUUCAGGGUGUCAUGGUUCCAUUAGAGACUUUCCCAAGUGCUUUUAUUAGGGUUUAUAUGACUCUGGUUGAUCUCUACAGGCUUUUAAAUUCAUAGACAUUUUGAUUUAUUCACAAACACCUUUUACUUAUUGGACUAUAAAUAGGUCUUUGAUGUGAGUCAUUCUUCUGGAGUAGUCCUGGUGGCCUCAGAACUUGGAACACAUUGAAUAGAACUCCAGACUUAAAGUAGUUGUCUGUUACUCCAAAUAGACUUCUAGAGGAUGCAGAGUUUAUGAGGGAAUUGUACUUUGCAAGGUAUUGUGAUAAUUGGGGAGUAUACAUUCCCUUUAGGGAAUUAAAUAUCCUCCUUCUCUUCCUCUCCUUCCACCUUCCUCUUCCUUCUCCUCCCUCCUACUGUGUCUCCUUAUUUUUCUUGAGCACCUAAAGAUCUACUUCCCUUUAUAAAGAUUCACAUUUACGUGGUAGAGAGAAAUGCUUUAUAGAUCCAUCAAAUAGGUAUGGGUAAUUAUUGUAAAUAGUCAUAUACAAUGAUUUAAAUACACAUUGCUCUGAAGGAUUGGUUCAUGAAAAUCCAGUUGACCCUUGAAAAAUGUAGGGUUUAAUCCACAUAUAACUUAAACUGGCCCUCUGUAUCCAUGGUUCCUCUACAUCCUCAGAUUCAACCAAUUACGGACUGUGUAACUGUAUUACUGAAACUGAAAAAUAUCAGUGUAUAAGUGGACUGGUGCAGUUCAAACCCACACUGUUUGAGAGUCAACUGUAAUUCUUUACAAUAUAUUUUCAGAUCUCAUGCCAUAAAUAAAUGAUACCUUUCUUUGUUAUUAAGAAAAUGACAAAAAGCAGUCUUUAAAAAAAAAAAAAAGUCAUUGUAAUCUUAUGAAAUAUUGCUUCCCAAUCAUAAAAGCAAAGAAGUUCAGAAGUAAAACCUAUCAUCUUGGCUGCUUUUGUUACAGGAAAUUGUCUUUCCUAUUUUCCCCUCCAUGGUCACCUCAUUGUUCCUGUUAUGUGAAAAGAGAUGGUGCCAUUGCCCUCUGAUUGCCUUAUACAUCAGUGCUUUCUCUCCUGAAACAGCCAUUUUCAGUCAAAUGCUUAAUGCUGUUUCAACAUGUCUUCACCCCAUCCCCCCCAACCUCCACCCCACUUUGCACUGCUGCAGAUGUUACCUUGUCAGAGCCCAGAAGUUCCCAAGAUGUGCACAGGAAGACAUGGCAGCAUGAGGCACAACCAUGACCUAAAGGAAAUAACAAAUUGCACGAGUGUGGCUGUGAGGAACAUACUGAUUUGGGACAUCUUUCUCUGAUGAAAUCUGUCAGGCUCUUAGUUUUCCAAAUGUGGGAACUUUUGUACUUGUUUUCCUCUUAGGCACAGGAUAAUUCCCAAGAGAGAUUCCAUUCAUUCCUCAUAGAGAAACAGAAGAAAAAGAAUGAAGCUGAACUAGUAGUUUGUUAGGAGAAUUGUGUUUACUCUGUGAUCUGAUUCGAGAAAUGGACUUGGAAUCUUAGCAAGUCCUAGCUAGAGCGUCUCCAUUUCGCAGCUGGGGCAUAUAGAGCUCAGCCAUGGAUUCUUCUGACUGGGGAAAAUUCAGUUACCUAGAACACGAAGCAAGCGAAUGAGAUGUACCUAGAGACUGACUGUUCCCAGUGUCAUUAAUAGGGGUCAUGUUUACAUUUUUACUGUUGUUAAUGAGUCCAAGCUAAUACUGCUCACUGCACCACAGGCCAGUAAAUUGAGGCAGGGAAUAGUUGUUGGGGCAAAGAAUAGUAACUUUACUUGGAAAACCAGCAGACUGAGAAGGUGGUGGACGAGCGUCUUAAAGAACCUCUUACGCAGGUUAGAAUUCAGGCUUUCUUUUAUACUAAAAAAGAAGGGGUGUGUUUGAUUGUUGUAAACUUGGUGUCAGAACCCUUUGUUCUUGUAGCUGUCCAUAUAGGUCUGGUCACAGUGUUCUUGUAAAUCUCCAACAACACAAAUAUUAUUCUCAGUUCUGCAACUUUUUAUCUCUAUAUGAAUGGAAAAGUAUUAUGCCUUUAAAAGUCAGAGACUUGAGAAUGGACUCUCCUGUAUAUUUCAGGCUAAGGGCAACAUUCUUAAUUUGUAGCAAAAGCAAUAGAAUACAAAAGUUACAGAAACAGAUCCAAUAUGGAAUCAGAUUUGUUUUUCCCUAUUGCAUUGUGACUAAUCUCUCAUCUAUUUUAAUACUUUCUUCAAAUCAGUGAUUACAAUAUAACUGAAUUCCUCAGAUAUUAGUAAGUACUUUUAUUUCUUAAUUUACCCACGUUGGUUCCUGGCCACUGUCGCCUUCUUCCUCCCUUAAGAGAUAGUUUCAGUAAUUUUUUUUUAUGCUAAUAAGUGAUGCUCUUGAGGAUGAAACUAGAAGCUGAACCAUGCUUAAUGAAAUCGUUGGUCUUAAUUUUGGCAUUAGUCCAAAUUGAUGAAACAUACAGGGACUUUUGCCUUCAUUAUUUUAUUCAUCUUUUAUAGAAAAUGUGGAGACUUCUGGAUGGGUUUGGCUUUCUGCCAAUUAGUGUCACCACUGUUUUCCUGUGAUGCAUAUUCGCGUGAGUCAACAGAAACCUUUUUGACUAAGCAGAGUUAGAUUUAGCAAGCCCGUAUGCAUCAGGGUAUUCAAUGUGGGGGAAAUUAUAACAACAGGGCAGUGAGACCUCAGACAGAAGAAGCCUUGACCAAUAGGUUCCCCAAACAGAGAAGUCACCAUAGCCCCACACCACCUCACAUCUCCCCAGAACAAGUUCUCUGUGAUGGACACAGAAGUGCUCAGUUUUGUCAUCCCUUGCUCAUAGCCUCAGAAGAAUCUGACACCUGGAUCUUAGAGAGGGUGCAGCCUCUUUGAGGAAAGAGGCCCCAGCCCAGUGCCUCAUAUCUCUCUUCAUCCAGCCUUGAAACCAAGCCUUCCUGUGAAGACCCCUGGUGGUUUUUAAUGUAUCAUUCCAGUGAGGAGGCAUAGGACUUAACAGCAGAUCAAAGGGAAAAGGCUAAAAAGUAUUUCAUAAUGUGAUAUAGUGGGGGUAGCAAAAUCUUGGGCUUCAUUAAUAGAAAGAAAUUACCCAAAAUGACGAAUGUGUAUCAGUCGGACUCGGCUUUGGUUGUGAGUGAUGAAAAACACAAAAUCACGGUACUUUAAACCGAUAAGUGUUUAUUUCUCUUUCAUAAAAGUCCCAAGGUACGGUCCAGGAAAGAGGGACACUUUAGAGGAACUAUAUACCCCCUUGUUCUCAGCCCUGGCAUGUGGCUUCCAUGUGGGGAACAAGAGGGCUCCUCGGGGCUCAGUCAGGAAGAAGGAGGAGGUGGCAGCAGCAGCAGGGGCUACCCCCUCUUUAAGGACUCUUCUCCGAAGUCGCAUGCAAUACUUCCAUGUAAGUCUUAGUCUCGUGGUCACCCCUCACCCACCGCAGGAGUGGCAGGAACAUGUCGCUUUUAUUUGAGGUAGCUGUGUAGCCAACUAAAAAUCAAAGAUGGUAAAACUGAUGAACACGCAAAGGAUGGACAGUAUUCUCCCUUCUAGAACUUUGUCAGCGUUCUGCCCACUUCCCAGAAAACUAGUGGUCUCUCCAGGGGGACGUGAAAGACACCCCCCCCAACCCUUGUCUUGUUCACAGCACACCUAGGGUGUGCUUUUCACUUCCAGGAGCCUUUCACACUAUUAUAUAUAUAUAUUUGUGAACCAAUAAAUUCAGAGGGAAAUUCCCAGGAUGGUGUGAGGACUCCAUGUACCACAGUGUUGGUUAAACAAAUCGAUUGGACCAUGUCUGACGAAGAACAGGUGAAAGAGCUGGUGCUAUUUCACCAGGAAUGUACUCCUUUCUCAGAACAAACACGGGGAAGAUGUGAUGCCUGACCUAGACCAUUUGAAGAGCUGUUCGGUGUGUUCCCGGUGGAUAGGAUUAGAUUGUGCCCCAGUCAGUGAGUCUGAUUAGCGGCACCAAAUAAAGGAGUAUUUUCUGGUCCUCAGAGGCAUCUGCAGGUUGACUGAGCUGUGCCCGGAGGGUGGGAGGAGGGCGUGGGAGGGUCCAAGUGAAUUUGCUAUUGUCAAAGGGAUUGAAGGUGUGACUAUUGGGUCCACGGAUAGCCUUGUAACAUGUCAUCCUGGCUCUAGUCUUCCAGUCCCCCUAGUCUGUGCUCCGCAUUGCCACUGGUGAUCUUUUUGUUUGGUUGGUUUAGGUUUUGUUUGUCUUUUUAGGGCCACACUGAUGGCAUAUGGAAGUUCCUAGACUAGCAGUGGAAUAGGAGCUGCAGCUACCAGCCUACACUACAGCCACAGCUAUGCCAGAUCCCAGCCUUGUCUGCAACCUACACCACAGCUCACAGCAAUGCCAGAGCCUUAACCCACUGAGUGAGGCCAGGGAUCAAACCUGCAUCCUCAUAGAUACUAGUCGAGUUCUUAACCCACUGAGCCACAACAGGAACACCACCACUGGUGUCUUCUAUAUUCAAAAUAGAUCAGGUAACUUCCAAGAUCCAUCCCUCUCUGUGGCCCCGCCAUCACUUUCUGCUGCCCAGCUCCCCCUCCCCUGACCUGGUCGUGGCUUACUCCCACCGAGUCUCCAGACAGAAUUUCCACUCCCCCCUCAUGUGUCAGAGUUUUCUCCCUUCUGGAACUUUGCCCAGGUUGUUCCCUCUUCCACAACCCUCUCCUUCACACGCACGCUCACACUUCACCUGGCUAACUCCUACACAUCCUGCAUCAUCACUUCCUCUCUGAAGUCUCCACUCCCACCUCCUCGGAAGGGGGUUUCCAAUAACCUCUGCGGCCUCUGUUAGCACAGCAUGUACUGCAGUUACUGCAAUUGUUUGUUUCAGGAUCUGUCUUGGCAGCUAAACUGUAAGCGCCCUGUAAGUAGAGGCGGGCAUCCUGGAUACAACAUGCAACCCGCUCAUCGUAGGUGACUGAAAAUAACAUGGAACCUUAGAGAAGAUCCUCAAGCAAAGGCUGAGGGGAAAUACAGGUUAAGGUUGAGGAAGAAGCAGUCGAGGUAGGAGUCGGGAGGAAGGGACCACAAACAGUGUCUUUUGCUCCAGCCCCCCGACAUUCUCUGUGGGGUUGUGGGGUUGAGAGGCGUGUGAGAGAAUUACUUCUCUUGGGUUCCUUGGGCCACCUCCCGGCCCCCAAGGAGGCAGAGCAACUGUUACCGUGGAAUUUGAAAUACUAGCUAUGUUAAUGGAGGUCAGAAUUACUGAGACUGGAUUUACAGCUCCCCAAAUUGACCCGGAUUUAUUUUCUAUUAUUCAAAAUUAGUUAUGUUGAAGGAGGAGCAAGGGGCUUCUUGGUGUAUAGAUGAUCACUAAUGUGUCUCUGGACUUAAAUCUUGUUUGGCUUUUAUCUGUUCUGGAGGAUGUGACUUGGGGUCCUGACCACAGCAGCAGCAGAAUUUGCAUGUGGGCAGCUCUGGCCUCCCAGACCUUAGUGACCUGGGCUGGCCACCCAUCUCUGCCUUGUCCUGGAGUGAUUUUUUUACAGGCUCUGAAUAAACGCCUGCCCUUAAAUACCUCCUGCCAUUUGCUUCUUAGCGCUUAACAUUCCACAUUUAGAGAAGAGGCCUCACAUUCAAGGGCCACAAGAAUGACAUGUUGAUUUAAAUUCACAUGGAGAUGUAUCGGCUCCUUCUGUGAUGUACUGGACCAUUGGGCUCCAGGGAAUAUGGAUGGGGAGUGAAAAAAAAUGGGGCGUUUGAGACCAGAGGGGCCAGGAAUUCUAAGUAGGUGGAGCAGGUUAAAAGACAGACUACAUUUAACUUAGAAUUUUGUUUAGCCUUAUUUAUCUCAAGCAUAACAGACAGAGGUAAUUUUUCGUUUGAGGCUGAUGGGAAAGGAGUAAUUCAGGCCCAAGAGUGGACCUCCUGCUUGGAGUUUUAUCCACUAAAACUACAGUGGGAUUUUCCACCUGGCAAUGCCCUUUACUGAGUGGGACAUGCAGCCCUACCUCUGCGGGACCACUGGUGGCUCAGUGAUCAUCCCUGCCUGCUCUUCAUCUGCCCAGGUCUCCUUUUCUUGGUACACACAGACCAUCAGAAAGUUGAUGAAUAGAGAAGCAAGUACCAUUUCCCCAAGAGGAGUCUUAUGCUCAUGCAGCCCAGAAUAGUAGUCACCUUGAAAAAGAUUUUUUAAGUCUAGUCCUGCGCCGAAGCUGACUGGAGAUAACUUUUCCUAGAAUGGAAAUCACCCAACCGGCAUGAACUAUUUAUUUUCUUGAUUGCUGCAAGAAAGCACAUGAACAACAAUCUUAUUGUCUCCUCCAUUUUUGUUUUAAAAGGCAUGCAGCUGCUAAGAAUGUUGUGUGUACAAAGCAUUAAUUAACAACAGCCCCUUUUUAUUUAUAUUUACCCUCUAAAAAUUUAAUUGUUAAUUGCUUUUGUGCAGUGCUCAGUUUGUUCCUCUUUCUGUAGAUUUGCGUGCAGUGAAAUUAAACAUUUUAAAAUGUGUAGAUGAUCGGAGAGGUUUAAUUCUCUUGAUAUAUACAGUGACAGUGUUUCAAUUCUAUAAACAAAACCCACUGGUACAAUUAAUCAUUAACCUACUUGCGGUAGGGAUUAAGGGAGAGAACGAAUGUUAACUCUUUUGUGACUUAAGGUAAAUCAGCAGGAAAGAUGAUGGAGUGUGUAAUUUUUGUUGUCUA